This 497-nucleotide ribosomal RNA is filed under the name uncultured bacterium. Its description in RNAcentral is "partial 16S ribosomal RNA". It matches the Rfam family "Bacterial small subunit ribosomal RNA", at positions 28 to 507 of the family's 1533-position model. The record is from RNAcentral.
GACGAACGCUGGCGGCGUGCCUAAUACAUGCAAGUUGAGCGCUGAAGGUUGGUACUUGUACCAACUGGAUGAGCAGCGAACGGGUGAGUAACGCGUGGGGAAUCUGCCUUUGAGCGGGGGACAACAUUUGGAAACGAAUGCUAAUACCGCAUAAAAACUUUAAACACAAGUUUUAAGUUUGAAAGAUGCAAUUGCAUCACUCAAAGAUGAUCCCGCGUUGUAUUAGCUAGUUGGUGAGGUAAAGGCUCACCAAGGCGAUGAUACAUAGCCGACCUGAGAGGGUGAUCGGCCACAUUGGGACUGAGACACGGCCCAAACUCCUACGGGAGGCAGCAGUAGGGAAUCUUCGGCAAUGGACGGAAGUCUGACCGAGCAACGCCGCGGGAGUGAAGAAGGUUGUCGGAUCGUAAAACUCUGUUGGUAGAGAAGAACGUUGGUGAGAGUGGAAAGCUCAUCAAGUGACGGUAACUACCCAGAAAGGGACGGCUAACUACGUG